AUUGAACGCUGGCGGCAGGCUUAACACAUGCAAGUCGAGCGGGGGAAGGUAGCUUGCUACCGGACCUAGCGGCGGACGGGUGAGUAAUGCUUAGGAAUCUGCCUAUUAGUGGGGGACAACAUCUCGAAAGGGAUGCUAAUACCGCAUACGUCCUACGGGAGAAAGCAGGGGAUCUUCGGACCUUGCGCUAAUAGAUGAGCCUAAGUCGGAUUAGCUAGUUGGUGGGGUAAAGGCCUACCAAGGCGACGAUCUGUAGCGGGUCUGAGAGGAUGAUCCGCCACGCUGGGACGGAGACACGGCCCAGACUCCUACGGGAGGCAGCAGUGGGGAAUAUUGGACAAUGGGGGGAACCCUGAUCCAGCCAUGCCGCGUGUGUGAAGAAGGCCUUAUGGUUGUAAAGCACUUUAAGCGAGGAGGAGGCUACUUUAGUUAAUACCUAGAGAUAGUGGACGUUACUCGCAGAAUAAGCACCGGCUAACUCUGUGCCAGCCGCCGCCGUAA
RNAcentral lists this ribosomal RNA (501 nucleotides) under uncultured bacterium. Its description in RNAcentral is "partial 16S ribosomal RNA". It matches the Rfam family "Bacterial small subunit ribosomal RNA", at positions 30 to 523 of the family's 1533-position model. The record is from RNAcentral.